AUAUCGGGAGCUUUCUUCGAUAUCGGUGUCGAGUCGGCUCUGAUCUAGGCUUGUUGUGUCGGUCUAGAUUAGGUUGUUUAUAUUUUCCUUUGGAUUAUUGUUUUGAUGAUGACUACCCGUAUGUUUGUGUUUUGAGAUUUAUCUUUGGGAUAAGAUUUAUUUGCUCAUGGCAUGUAUAUAUUUGAUCACUCUGAUUUAUAUUCCACUGCAACUGUUGAGGUUUAUAUACAUGUCUA
RNAcentral lists this long non-coding RNA (236 nucleotides) under Medicago truncatula (barrel medic). Its description in RNAcentral is "long non-coding RNA (MTRU_LNC006146)". Lineage: Eukaryota; Viridiplantae; Streptophyta; Magnoliopsida; Fabales; Fabaceae. The record is from RNAcentral.